Molecule: ribosomal RNA, 1532 nt
Filed under: Escherichia coli
Lineage: Bacteria; Pseudomonadati; Pseudomonadota; Gammaproteobacteria; Enterobacterales; Enterobacteriaceae
Description: bacterial SSU rRNA
Rfam family: Bacterial small subunit ribosomal RNA
Source: RNAcentral
AAAUUGAAGAGUUUGAUCAUGGCUCAGAUUGAACGCUGGCGGCAGGCCUAACACAUGCAAGUCGAACGGUAACAGGAAACAGCUUGCUGUUUCGCUGACGAGUGGCGGACGGGUGAGUAAUGUCUGGGAAACUGCCUGAUGGAGGGGGAUAACUACUGGAAACGGUAGCUAAUACCGCAUAACGUCGCAAGACCAAAGAGGGGGACCUUCGGGCCUCUUGCCAUCGGAUGUGCCCAGAUGGGAUUAGCUAGUAGGUGGGGUAACGGCUCACCUAGGCGACGAUCCCUAGCUGGUCUGAGAGGAUGACCAGCCACACUGGAACUGAGACACGGUCCAGACUCCUACGGGAGGCAGCAGUGGGGAAUAUUGCACGUAGACAAGCCACAAUUAACAGCCAUGCCGUGUGAAGAGACUCGGGUUUGUAAAAUUACUUUCAGCGGGGAGGAAGGUACAAUACCUUUGCUCGGUGACGUUACCACCCGCAGAAGAAGCACCGGCUAACUCCGUGCCAGCAGCCGCGGUAAUACGGAGGGUGCAAGCGUUAAUCGGAAUUACUGGGCGUAAAGCGCACGCAGGCGGUUUGUUAAGUCAGAUGUGAAAUCCCCGGGCUCAACCUGGGAACUGCAUCUGAUACUGGCAAGCUUGAGUCUCGUAGAGGGGGGUAGAAUUCCAGGUGUAGCGGUGAAAUGCGUAGAAGUCUGGAGGAAUACCGGUGGCGAAGGCGGCCCCCUGGACGAAGACUGACGCUCAGGUGCGAAAGCGUGGGGAGCAAACAGGAUUAGAUACCCUGGUAGUCCACGCCGUAAACGAUGUCGACUUGGAGGUUGUGCCCUUGAGGCGUGGCUUCCGGAGCUAACGCGUUAAGUCGACCGCACGGGGUACGUACAAAGUUUAAAACUCAAAUGGGUGGCGGGGGCCGCACAAGCGGUGGAGCGUAAUGGUUUAAUUCUGAUGCAACGCGCAGAAGAGCCUUAUCCACGGAAGUUUUCAGAGAUGAGAAUGUGCCUUCGGGAACCGUGAGACAGGUGCUGCAUGGCUGUCGUCAGCUCGUGUUGUGAAAUGUUGGGUUAAGUCCCGCAACGAGCGCAACCCUUAUCCUUUGUUGCCAGCGGUCCGGCCGGGAACUCCAAGGCUGCCAGUGAUAAACGCUGGAGGAAGGUGGGGAUGACGUCAAGUCAUGUCCUUGUACCCGACCCGGGGCUACACACGUGCUACAAUGGCGCAUACAAAGAGAAGCGACCUCGCGAGAGCAAGCGGACCUCAUAAAGUGCGUCGUAGUCCGGAUUGGAGUCUGCAACUCGACUCCAUGAAGUCGGAAUCGCUAGUAAUCGUGGAUCAGAAUGCCACGGUGAAUACGUUCCCGGGCCUUGUACACACCGCCCGUCACACCAUGGGAGUGGGUUGCAAAAGAAGUAGGUAGCUUAACCUUCGGGAGGGCGCUUACCACUUUGUGAUUCAUGACUGGGGUGAAGUCGUAACAAGGUAACCGUAGGGGAACCUGCGGUUGGAUCACCUCCUUACCUUAAAGAAGC